RNAcentral lists this ribosomal RNA (120 nucleotides) under Trialeurodes vaporariorum (greenhouse whitefly). Lineage: Eukaryota; Metazoa; Arthropoda; Insecta; Hemiptera; Aleyrodidae. The record is from RNAcentral.
AUCAACAGCCUUACCACGUUGAAAGCCCCGGGUUUCUCGUCCGAUCUCCGAAAUAAGCAACGUCGGGCGUAGUUGUACUUAGAUGGGCGACCGUUUGGGGAACACUGCGUGCAGUUGACA